Long non-coding RNA from Priapulus caudatus, 358 nucleotides. RefSeq lists it as uncharacterized. NCBI's taxonomy places the organism in Eukaryota, Metazoa, Priapulida, Priapulimorpha, Priapulimorphida, Priapulidae. The record is from RefSeq and is a predicted model, not a curated record. The transcript has 4 exons.
CGAAGAGUCCCUGCCAUAUGUUUUCUCUGUGUUUUUGUCGUCAAAUAUUAAAGCUGUGAGAACUUCGAAUGCGUAUCAUAAUUACAGCUAACCAUAUAAAUGGAAUAAUCAGGAUAACACACAUACCUGACUGAGUUAAAUUUUAUUUUCAGUGUCAAUCGCCAGACUGGAGGACACGGAGAAUUAUUAUGUUUUCGAAGCAGCGUCGUACAACGAUUGAGUGGUUACCGGUCUCCAGUUGAACAUACCAAGAGGUGCACAGAGAUAUACUGCCAAUCACGUCGCUGAAGGCCAUGGUGAAUUCACAUAUUUUCGAGGCAACGGCGUGCACCGCUCGCCAGUUGAGCAUACCAAAAAG